This 468-nucleotide ribosomal RNA is filed under the name uncultured bacterium. Its description in RNAcentral is "partial 16S ribosomal RNA". It matches the Rfam family "Bacterial small subunit ribosomal RNA", at positions 28 to 507 of the family's 1533-position model. The record is from RNAcentral.
GACGAACGCUGGCGGCGUGCUUAACACAUGCAAGUCGAACGGGAAGGUCCUGCCUAGGUGGGGAGCUCGAGUGGCGAACGGGUGAGUAACACGUGAGUAACCUGCAAUUGACUUUGGGAUAACUUAAGGCAACUGGGGGUAAUACCGGAUAGGAGCUCUUGCUGCAGGGUGGGGGUUGGAAAGAUUCGGCGGUUGGGGAUGGACUCGCGGCUUAUCAGCUUGUUGGGUGGGUAGUGGCUUACCAAGGCUUUGACGGGUGGCCGGCCUGAGUGGGUGACCUGCCACAUUGGGCUUGAGAUGCGGCCCAGCCUCCUACGGGAGGCAGCAGUGCGGAAUAUUGCACAAUGGGCGGAAGCCUGAUGCAGCAACGCCGCGUGCGGGAUGACGGCCUUCGGUUUGUAAUCCGCUUUCGCCUGUGACGAAGCGUGAGUGACGGUAAUGGGUAAAGAAGCACCGGCUAACUACGUG